Molecule: ribosomal RNA, 506 nt
Filed under: Mycobacterium sp. IEC35
Lineage: Bacteria; Bacillati; Actinomycetota; Actinomycetes; Mycobacteriales; Mycobacteriaceae
Description: bacterial SSU rRNA
Rfam family: Bacterial small subunit ribosomal RNA
Source: RNAcentral
AGUUUGAUCCUGGCUCAGGACGAACGCUGGCGGCGUGCUUAACACAUGCAAGUCGAACGGAAAGGCCCUUUCGGGGGUACUCGAGUGGCGAACGGGUGAGUAACACGUGGGUGAUCUGCCCUGCACUUUGGGAUAAGCCUGGGAAACUGGGUCUAAUACCGGAUAGGACCACGCGCUUCAUGGUGUGUGGUGGAAAGCUUUUGCGGUGUGGGAUGGGCCCGCGGCCUAUCAGCUUGUUGGUGGGGUAAUGGCCUACCAAGGCGACGACGGGUAGCCGGCCUGAGAGGGUGUCCGGCCACACUGGGACUGAGAUACGGCCCAGACUCCUACGGGAGGCAGCAGUGGGGAAUAUUGCACAAUGGGCGCAAGCCUGAUGCAGCGACGCCGCGUGGGGGAUGACGGCCUUCGGGUUGUAAACCUCUUUCAGUAUCGGCGAAGCUCCAGGAUUGUGACGGUAGGUACAGAAGAAGCACCGGCCAACUACGUGCCAGCAGCCGCGGUAAUAC